Molecule: ribosomal RNA, 501 nt
Filed under: uncultured bacterium
Lineage: Bacteria
Description: partial 16S ribosomal RNA
Rfam family: Bacterial small subunit ribosomal RNA
Source: RNAcentral
GAUGAACGCUAGCGGCAGGCUUAAUACAUGCAAGUCGAGGGGCAGCACGGGUAGCAAUAUCUGGUGGCGACCGGCAAACGGGUGCGGAACACGUACAGAACCUUCCUUUAAGCGGGGGAUAGCCCAUAGAAAUGUGGAUUAAUACCCCAUAGUAAUGUUGGUUGGCAUCAACUGAUAUUUAAAGAUUUAUCACUUAAAGAUGGCUGUGUGGCUGUUUAGGUAGUUGGGGUAGGUAACGGCUCACCAAGCCAUCGAUCAGUAACUGGUGUGAGAGCACGACCAGUCACACGGGCACUGAGACACGGGCCCGACUCCUACGGGAGGCAGCAGUAAGGAAUAUUGGUCAAUGGACGCAAGUCUGAACCAGCCAUGCCGCGUGAAGGAUGAAGGCCCUCUGGGUUGUAAACUUCUUUUAUCUGGGAAGAAACCACUUUUUUAUAAGGGUGUUGACGGUACCAGAGGAAUAAGCACCGGCUAACUCCGUGCCAGCAGCCGCCGUAA